AGCAUCUUUUCCCUCCAACAUUGGCCUGAGAAAGAAUCUUCGUUGCACCGUAAAUCGCCUUCGGCAGCGGCGGGGGACCAAACACUUUGAAACUUACAUCACUGAACUCACUUCACUCUCCUCUAAAUGAAUCCCUAAUCAAUUUCAUCUGAUUUCUAACCAAAAAAUCAAAUCAUCAUGAAACACUCAAGAAACCUAAAUGAAAAAUCAUAAAUUAAAACUCAACCAAGCCUAAUUCCAGUCCAUCACCAUAGGGAGCCUACCAUACUCUACCGCACUCAUACACUCAAUUGGUAACAAGAAUCAGAGAGAACAAGAUGGAUUUGAAGAGAGCCUACCAUAGAAGAUCAGAGGUUGAAGUGCAGAGACAAUGGUGUGCUUCGAACAAGGGAUGACUUUAUGCUUUCGAGUUUGGUUAUGACUCAAUAAUGCUUGGCAUGAGGGUAUCAUAAAUGCCCACGGGUAAUGGCUUGAAGAAUCAUGACUUACUUGUGCAUGAAGAAAUCUUGGGAUUGAAUCCACAUGAAAAGAUGGAAAAGUGAAGACACAUAGUGAAAUUGGUAUUAGGUUUAGGGUUUAGGUUAGUUGACUUUGGUCAAAUGGUUGACCAAAGUCAAAUGUAGGUCAAAGUUGCUUAUUUUUGGUAAUUUGGUGUAGAUAUUGUAAUAUGGUAUUGUAUGAAUGAAAUGAACAUUUUUGGAUGAAAA
This is a long non-coding RNA of Lathyrus oleraceus (garden pea), 707 nucleotides long. RefSeq lists it as uncharacterized. NCBI's taxonomy places the organism in Eukaryota, Viridiplantae, Streptophyta, Magnoliopsida, Fabales, Fabaceae. The transcript is spliced from 2 exons. The record is from RefSeq and is a predicted model, not a curated record.